RNAcentral lists this ribosomal RNA (411 nucleotides) under uncultured bacterium. Its description in RNAcentral is "bacterial SSU rRNA". It matches the Rfam family "Bacterial small subunit ribosomal RNA", at positions 30 to 441 of the family's 1533-position model. The record is from RNAcentral.
AUUGAACGCUGGCGGCAUGCCUUACACAUGCAAGUCGAGCGGUAGAGAGGUGCUUGCAUCUCUUGAGAGCGGCGGACGGGUGAGUAAUGCCUAGGAAUCUGCCUAGUGGUGGGGGAUAACGUUCGGAAACGGACGCUAAUACCGCAUACGUCCUACGGGAGAAAGCGGGGGAUCUUCGGACCUCGCGCCAUUAGAUGAGCCUAGGUCGGAUUAGCUAGUUGGUGAGGUAAUGGCUCACCAAGGCGACGAUCCGUAACUGGUCUGAGAGGAUGAUCAGUCACACUGGAACUGAGACACGGUCCAGACUCCUACGGAGGCAGCAGUGGGGAAUAUUGGACAAUGGCGAAAGCCUGAUCCAGCCAUGCCCGCGUGUGUGGAAGAAGGUCUUCGGAUUGUAAAGCACUUUAAGUU